Molecule: ribosomal RNA, 441 nt
Filed under: uncultured bacterium
Lineage: Bacteria
Description: partial 16S ribosomal RNA
Rfam family: Bacterial small subunit ribosomal RNA
Source: RNAcentral
CCUACGGGUGGCAGCAGUGGGGAAUAUUGCACAAUGGGCGAAAGCCUGAUGCAGCAACGCCGCGUGAAGGAAGAAGGCCUUCUGGUCGUUAACUUCUGUCCUUGGGGAAGCAGAACUGACGGUACCCAAGGAGGAAGCCCCGGCUAACUACGUGCCAGCAGCCGCGGUAAUACGUAGGGGGCAAGCGUUAUCCGGAAUUAUUGGGCGUAAAGAGUACGUAGGUGGCAACCUAAGCGCAGGGUUAAAGGCAAUGGCUCAACCAUUGUUCGCCCUGCAAACUGGGGUGCUUGAGUGCAGGAGAGGAAAGCGGAAUGCGUGGUGUAGCGGUGAAAUGCGUAGAUAUUAGGAGGAACACCGGUGGCGAAGGCAGCUUUCUGGACUGUAACUGACGCUGAGGUACGAAAGCGUGGGGAGCAAACAGGAUUAGAUACCCCAGUAGUC